RNAcentral lists this signal recognition particle RNA (265 nucleotides) under Hydrogenispora ethanolica. RNAcentral describes it as "Firmicutes bacterium LX-B Bacterial large signal recognition particle RNA". It matches the Rfam family "Bacterial large signal recognition particle RNA". From Rfam's summary of the family: The signal recognition particle (SRP) is a universally conserved ribonucleoprotein involved in the co-translational targeting of proteins to membranes. Archaeal SRP consists of a 7S RNA and homologues of the eukaryotic SRP19 and SRP54 proteins. The record is from Rfam by way of RNAcentral. Lineage: Bacteria; Bacillati; Bacillota.
CCAUGCUAGACGGGGAGGUAGCGGUGCCUUGUAACCUGCAACCCGCUAUAGCAGGGUUGAAUUCCAAGCGGAAGGCCGGUCUUCGUGAGUCCGGCCGGAUGAAGUGGUGUUGAGGAUUGGGUCCUGCGCAACGGAGACCUAUGAACCCCGUCAGGUCCGGAAGGAAGCAGCGGUAAGUAGGACCCUUCGUGUGCCGCGGGGUUGCCUGGUCGGAGCCGGCUGAUUCGGCGCGUUCGGGGGGAUACAGUCAAGGCUUGGUGCAUGG